UCCCUGGUAGCUCAGUUGGUAAAGAAUCUGCCUGCAAUGCAGGAGACCCGGGUUCAUUUCCUGGGUUGGGAA
Bos taurus (domestic cattle) is the source of this 72-nucleotide non-coding RNA. The record is from Rfam. NCBI's taxonomy places the organism in Eukaryota, Metazoa, Chordata, Mammalia, Artiodactyla, Bovidae.